CUACGGGCCGCUGCAGUGGGGAAUAUUGGGCAAUGGGCGCAAGCCUGACCCAGCAACGCCGCGUGAGGGAAGAAUGUCUUCGGAUUGUAAACCUCUGUCCUUAGGGACGAAAAAAAUGACGGUACCUAAGGAGGAAGCUCCGGCUAACUACGUGCCAGCAGCCGCGGUAAUACGUAGGGAGCAAGCGUUGUCCGGAAUUAUUGGGCGUAAAGGGUGCGUAGGCGGUAAUCCAAGUCAGAUGUGAAAGACCCGGGCUUAACUCGGGAGGUGCAUUUGAAACUGGGUUACUUGAGUACAGGAGAGGUAAGUGGAAUUCCUAGUGUAGCGGUGAAAUGCGUAGAUAUUAGGAGGAACACCAGUGGCGAAGGCGACUUACUGGACUGUCACUGACGCUGAGGCACGAAAGCGUGGGGAGCAAACAGGAUUAGAUACCCGAGUAGUC
RNAcentral lists this ribosomal RNA (442 nucleotides) under uncultured bacterium. Its description in RNAcentral is "partial 16S ribosomal RNA". It matches the Rfam family "Bacterial small subunit ribosomal RNA", at positions 339 to 795 of the family's 1533-position model. The record is from RNAcentral.